CCUACGGGAGGCAGCAGUGGGGGAUAUUGCACAAUGGGGGAAACCCUGAUGCAGCGACGCCGCGUGAGUGAAGAGGUAUUUCGGUAUGUAAAGCUCUAUCAGCAGGGAAGAAAAUGACGGUACCUGACUAAGAAGCUCCGGCUAAAUACGUGCCAGCAGCCGCGGUAAU
This 169-nucleotide ribosomal RNA is filed under the name uncultured rumen bacterium. RNAcentral describes it as "partial 16S ribosomal RNA". It matches the Rfam family "Bacterial small subunit ribosomal RNA", at positions 338 to 524 of the family's 1533-position model. The record is from RNAcentral.